AAACACGGACCAAGAAGUCUUGAAUGUGCGCAAGUCAAAGGGCUGUCUAAACCCCAAGGCGAAACGAAAGUGAAAGCUUUCAUUGGGCUGAUCCGGUUCGGGGUGCGCGAGUCGGGGGCCGGUAAAUAUCUGUUGUUAGCGGCUACGUUCCCGCGGUCGUUCGGUCCCAAUUGUUUUACCACACCUCCUUUCUCAUCGCGCACCUUUACGUUUAAGCGAUGAAAGGGGAGAGUGUGGCGGGCAGUGG
This 247-nucleotide ribosomal RNA is filed under the name Thermocellio sp. ACD-2018. Its description in RNAcentral is "partial 28S ribosomal RNA". Lineage: Eukaryota; Metazoa; Arthropoda; Malacostraca; Isopoda; Porcellionidae. The record is from RNAcentral.